UUUCCGUAGGUGAACCUGCGGAAGGAUCAUUACUGAGCUGUCAUGGGGUUCGAUCCUGGCAGCCAAUUUUUGGAUGCAUGUGCUUGCCCUAACAAUCAUCUUCCAAACACCUGUGCACAUUUUUGAGGGAGUCUUGAGUUGGUUGCCGCUCUUGGGUGAUUUUCUCACAUUCCCUUAAAUCAUUAUACGCUAUUAACAAUGUUGAACGUGCUCUGUGCCGCAAGGCUAUUAAUAUAAUACAACUUUUAACAACGGAUCUCUUGGUUCUC
This 269-nucleotide unclassified non-coding RNA is filed under the name plant metagenome. RNAcentral describes it as "partial contains small subunit ribosomal RNA, internal transcribed spacer 1, and 5.8S ribosomal RNA". The record is from RNAcentral.